RNAcentral lists this ribosomal RNA (3097 nucleotides) under Patescibacteria group bacterium. RNAcentral's name for it is "partial 23S ribosomal RNA". It matches the Rfam family "Bacterial large subunit ribosomal RNA", at positions 880 to 2925 of the family's 2925-position model. The record is from RNAcentral.
CCUCAAAUGUUUUUUAUUGGAGGUAGAGCACUGGUUGGUCUGUAUUGGCGCAAGCCAGGCAGACCAGUCAAACUCCGAAUUCCGGUAAAAUAGUUUGGGAGUCAGUAUUCGGGGGCAAAGCUCCGAAUACAAAAGAGCAAGAACUCGGACCAUCGUCUAAGGUCCCUAAAUUUUAGCUAAGUGUAGAAGGAAGUGAUGCGUCGAAGACAAAUAGGAGGUUGGCUUAGAGGUAGCCAUCCUUUAAAGAGUGUGUAACAACUCACUAUUAUAUCCCGCCUCGGUGGGAUUGACGCAUCGCGCCAAAGAUAUAACGGGACUAAGCUAAAUACCGAAGACAUGGGUUUGGUUUUACUCCGGUAAAACCAAGCGGUAGGAGAGCGUUCUUAGUGCAGCGAAGAUUGACCCGCGAGGGCGAUUGGAGCGCUAAGAAGUGAAAAUGUUGGCAUGAGUAACCUGCAAGACAGAUGAGAAAUCUGUCCGCCGAAAGCCUGAGGUUUCCUUGGCAAUGAAAAUCAGCCAAGGGUUAGGCGGUCCUAAGGCAAUGGAGAAAUCCGCAGCCGAUGGACAGACGGUUAAUAUUCCGUCCCUAUCUCAAGCGCUUUUACGGAAUGACGAAGUUUAGUAUGUCGGGCGCCUUAUUGGAUUGGCGUUCUUUGCGUUAGGGUUUUUGGGAGGCAAAUCCCCCAAGAUGCGUUUAAUCGCGAACUUAAGCGUCGAGAAAAUUUUUCACCUCGGUGAAAGAAAUUUGGCAAAGCAAGCUUCCUAGAAAACUUUCGUAAAUUAGCUUAGGAUAUCCGUACCGAAAACCGACACAGGUGGGCAGGGCGAGUAGCCCACGGCGAACGAGUGAUUCGUGGUUAAGGAACUCGGCAAAAAAGCGGCCGUAAGUUAGCGAUAUGGCCUGCCCCGCUUAGCGGGGCCGCAGCUAAAGAUUCCCUGGCGACUGUUUAUCAAAAACACAGCUCCCUGCUAACUCGCAAGAGGAUGUAUAGGGGGUGAUGCCUGACCUAUGCGAGAAGGUUAACGGCGGAUGUGGUAUUUCCAGCAAUGGAGGUACUGCUAAUGCCCGAAGCCCUCGUAAAUGUCAGCGAUAACUAUAAUCGUUCUAAGGUAGCGUAAUUCCUUGUCUGGUAUGAAUAUGCCAGUUCGGGCAGUGACGCCCGAAACAAAUCCGGCUCAUAACGGUGGAACCCUAACUGGAGUCUUGCGUAAGGACAAGAUGUUGAAGGAAGGGCAAUACCGUGGGAAGUCGUCUCGCCUUGGCGGGAUUGACCCCGUAUCGACUUAGGUCGCCGAUGACUGUUGGCGACUUGGAUAGUUGAUGUUAUAAUGAAUUAUAAAUUUCAACUAUAAUAUGCCGGCUCUGAGUAAUGCAAAAAGAAGAAUUAAUGAAUAUCUUUCCGGAUUCGUUGACGGAGAAGGAUGUUUUUCAAUAUCGUUCUCCAAACGUUCGAAAUUUAUUAUCGGCUGGGAAACAAAACCCAGUUUGUCCGUAAGUCAAAAUCGCGAUAGAGCAGAAGUGCUUUUUCUGAUGCAAAAGCAUUGGAAGUGCGGUUUUUUACGCGAUGGUGUAAUUGACAACACAAUUAAAUUUGAGGUUAGGCGAUUGGAUGAUUUAAUAAACAAAAUCAUUCCGCAUUUUGACCUCUAUCCGCUUCUUUCGUCCAAAAAUAAUGAUUACAAAUUAUUUCGUAAGAUUUGUUUUAUGAUGAAAGACGGAAAACACACGACAAUAAAUGGUUUUCGUAAAAUUAUUCCACUGGCAUUUCGCAUGAAUGCGAGCGGAAGACGAAAAUAUUCUCAAAAAGAUAUUAUGAAAUUUGCGCGUUCUCAGAUGAAGGUAUAGUCAGCGCCGUUAGAAAUAGCGGAUUAACGCGAAGUUCAGACGUGCACGAAAGGCCUAACGACUGGGGAACUGUCUCAAUCACGAGCUCGGUGAAAUUGCAAUUCCAGCGAAGAUGCUGGGUACCUGUAGCAAGACGAAAAGACCCCGGGAGCUUUACUGCAACUUAGUAUUGGCUAUAGAGCUUUGAUGCGUAGAAUAGAAGGGAGGCUUUGAAACCGUGUUUUCGGACGUGGUGGAGCCGCCAGUGAAAUACCUUUCUUUAAAGUUUUAUAAUCUAACCGGCGCGGAAAAAACGCGUUGGGACAGUGCUUGGCGGGCAGUUUUAGUGGGGCGCUAUCCUCCAAAAGCGUAACGGAGGAGUCCAUUAAGGUCGGCUAGCUUCGGAUGGAAAUCGAAGCGAUAGGGUAAAUCCAUAAGCCGGCUUAACUGCAAGACAUACAUGUCGCGCAGAUGCGAAAGCAGGGAUUAGUGAACUGUUUAUGGUUCGUAGAAACGUAAACAAUCAUCGGAUAAAAGCUACCCCGGGGAUAACAGGCUAGUCUGGUCCAAGAGUCCACAUCGACGACCAGGUUCGGCACCUCGAUGUCGGCUCAUCUUAUCCUGGGGCUGGAGAAGGUCCCAAGGGUUUGGCUGUUCGCCAAUUAAAAAGGUACGUGAGCUGGGUUCAAACCGUUGAGAAGCGAAAUAAAUUUUGGCUUUUCAACAGUUUGAAUCCGAGGAAAAAGACAUUAACACGGCGGUCAUAGGAAGUAAUUUCUAUGCACCAAGCUAACUUAUAUCGGUAAAACCCGACUGUACAAACAAGGGGCAAUACCGAGGGAAUUAUUUUUAUUAAUUUAAAAAUAAGCCCGUAGAGACUAAAUGUUAGCAAUCCUAUUUUUAUUUUUAUAUAAAAAGGAUUAAGUUAUAGUCCAAUGCACAUAGUAAUAUGUGACAACAUGCGUGAGACAGGUUGGUCUCUAUCUGCUACAGGCGUUGAUACUUGAGGAGCGUCAUUCCUAGUACGAGAGGACCGGAAUGACGGAACCUCUGGUGUACCGGCUGUCCUGCCAAGGGCAUCGCCGGGUAACUAUGUUCCGAAUUGAUAAGCGCUGAAAGCAUCUAAGCGCGAAGCAAUCUCCAAGAUUAGGUAUCGUUGUCCCGCUUGACGGGACGAGAGCUUCCUCGAAGAUUACGAGGUUGAUAGGCGAUAGGUGUAAGCGCGGCAACGCGUUGAGCCAAGUCGUACUAAUAAAGCAAUAUCUACUCAUC